RNAcentral lists this ribosomal RNA (253 nucleotides) under uncultured prokaryote. RNAcentral describes it as "partial 16S ribosomal RNA". It matches the Rfam family "Bacterial small subunit ribosomal RNA", at positions 524 to 776 of the family's 1533-position model. The record is from RNAcentral.
UACGUAGGAUGCAAGCGUUGUCCGGAUUUACUGGGCGUAAAGCGCGCGCAGGCGGCAUACCAAGUAUUCAGUGAAAUCUCCCUGCUCAACGGGGUGGGUGCUGAGUAGACUGGUAAGCUAGAGGACGGUAGAGGGGGGUAGAAUUGCUGGUGUAGCGGUGAAAUGCGUAGAGAUCAGCAGGAAUACCCGUGGCGAAGGCGGCCCCCUGGGCCGUUUCUGACGCUGAGGCGCGAAGGCUAGGGGAGCGAACGGG